UAAGUGCUCCGUGAUGAAGUGU
Molecule: microRNA, 22 nt
Filed under: Python bivittatus (Burmese python)
Lineage: Eukaryota; Metazoa; Chordata; Lepidosauria; Squamata; Pythonidae
Description: Pbv-Mir-430-o38_3p (mature (guide))
Source: RNAcentral